ACCGGAUGCGGAUCUCGAAAGCCUGUCCCAGUUCGGACUGGAGUCUGCAACCCGAACUCCACGAAGUUGGAUUCGCUAGUAAUCGCGCAUCAGCCAUGGCGCGGUGAAUACGUUCCCGGGCCUUGUACACACCGCCCGUCAAGCCAUGGGAGCCGGGGGCGCCUGAAGUCCGGGACCGCGAGGACCGGCCUAGGGCGAAACUGGUAACUGGGGCUAAGUCGUAACAAGGUAAC
Molecule: ribosomal RNA, 233 nt
Filed under: uncultured bacterium
Lineage: Bacteria
Description: partial 16S ribosomal RNA
Rfam family: Bacterial small subunit ribosomal RNA
Source: RNAcentral